Molecule: ribosomal RNA, 497 nt
Filed under: uncultured bacterium
Lineage: Bacteria
Description: partial 16S ribosomal RNA
Rfam family: Bacterial small subunit ribosomal RNA
Source: RNAcentral
GACGAACGCUGGCGGCGUGCCUAAUACAUGCAAGUAGAACGCUGAAGAGAGGAGCUUGCUCUUCUUGGAUGAGUUGCGAACGGGUGAGUAACGCGUAGGUAACCUGCCUUGUAGCGGGGGAUAACUAUUGGAAACGAUAGCUAAUACCGCAUAACAAUGGAUGACCCAUGUCAUUUAUUUGAAAGGGGCAAAUGCUCCACUACAAGAUGGACCUGCGUUGUAUUAGCUAGUAGGUGAGGUAACGGCUCACCUAGGCGACGAUACAUAGCCGACCUGAGAGGGUGAUCGGCCACACUGGGACUGAGACACGGCCCAGACUCCUACGGGAGGCAGCAGUAGGGAAUCGUCGGCAAUGGGGGCAACCCUGACCGAGCAACGCCGCGUGAGUGAAGAAGGUUUUCGGAUCGUAAAGCUCUGUUGUAAGUCAAGAACGAGUGUGAGAGUGGAAAGUUCACACUGUGACGGUAGCUUACCAGAAAUGGACGGCUAACUACGUG